RNAcentral lists this long non-coding RNA (237 nucleotides) under Erythranthe guttata (spotted monkey flower). RNAcentral describes it as "long non-coding RNA (EGUT_LNC002974)". The record is from RNAcentral. Lineage: Eukaryota; Viridiplantae; Streptophyta; Magnoliopsida; Lamiales; Phrymaceae.
UUUUAGCUCAAAAAAUACAUGAAUAUAUACUUGAAUGGGUUCUCAUUGCUCGUAAACUACCAUUCUAUUGUCAUUUGACGCCAUUUUGCAAGUUGUGUAAGGUUUUGAUUUCUUUUGUUUUGAGGUUUUUUAGGAGGGUUUUUGGGGAGGAAGAAGAAGGAGGUGGAGGAGGUGGAGGAGGUGAGGGGUUUGUGAGUGAGGAGAUAAAUAUUUUUUUUAGGUUUUUGAUUAUUUGGU